AUACCUUUAAUUUAAUGGUAAAAUAAUAAUCUACGGAAUUAUAAAUAUAGGUUCAAUUCCUAUAGGGUAUU
Molecule: transfer RNA, 71 nt
Organism: Pachysolen tannophilus NRRL Y-2460
Lineage: Eukaryota; Fungi; Ascomycota; Pichiomycetes; Alaninales; Pachysolenaceae
Rfam family: tRNA
About the family: Transfer RNA (tRNA) molecules are approximately 80 nucleotides in length. Their secondary structure includes four short double-helical elements and three loops (D, anti-codon, and T loops).
Source: Rfam